Molecule: non-coding RNA, 81 nt
Organism: Apaloderma vittatum (bar-tailed trogon)
Lineage: Eukaryota; Metazoa; Chordata; Aves; Trogoniformes; Trogonidae
Source: Rfam
GGCUGGUUAGCUCAGUGGGUUGAGCGUGGUGCUGACAACAAUGACAACACCAAGGUUGCAGGUUCGAUUCCCGCUCGGUCC